RNAcentral lists this long non-coding RNA (5753 nucleotides) under Lactuca sativa (garden lettuce). RNAcentral describes it as "long non-coding RNA (LSAT_LNC008627)". The record is from RNAcentral. Lineage: Eukaryota; Viridiplantae; Streptophyta; Magnoliopsida; Asterales; Asteraceae.
UUUUGAUGAACAUAUCAUUAGAAUCCAAUGGUGCAAUACUUUGAUUUAAAUCCUUAAUUUGGCUAUAGUAAUCCAAGGAGCUUGAGAUUACCUAGACUUUUCUUAAUUGUUGAAAUGGCUAGAGAAGCUCAUAACAAUUUCCUUAGUCAAAGUCACUAAUUCCAAAUAGCAUGUAAUUAGUGAAAGUCAACUAGCAUUAAGAACCAAAAAGUCACCAAAUCCAAGAGGGGUCAAAUGCUUUCACCACCAUGUUGGAGGAAAUGUUUUUAUGAUUGUGUGAAGCAAAAACAACACAAAAAUCAUUUGUUGCUUGCUAAUUUGAGGAUCCUUUACUUAAUCAAGAAAUUAGCCAACUAAUCACCACAAACACAUUUAAACUCAUGAACUAAAACAUACAAGUAGUGAUAAGAUGUUAAAACACAAAACAUUCCCAUAAAGAUUUAAGAACAUGUUCAUGGAUUCUUCAACAUUCAACAAAAGUUCAAAGGAUUAACCAAAAGUCAACCAAGAUUAGUUUAGCCAAGCAUGGCUAAACCCAAAGAAACAAAGUUAGAGAAAAUUGUACCAAACAUUAAGCAAGAAUCAAGAGGUAAAAAUAUGAUGUUCUUCAAGUGUUCUUGGCCUUCAAAAGUCUUCAAAACUCCAGAGAGAAUCUCCAAAAAUCGGAUGUCCAAGAGUCUCCAAAAGAUGGGCACCAACCUUCCUCAAAUAGCUCAAAAGAAGAAUUUCCGAAACUGCCCCUGCAGGAGGUUGCGCGACCCGCGUGCUGUUGCGCGGGUGGGUUGCGCGGGUGGUCCCUGGAUGUAACAUCUUUGAGGUUUUGGGCCUCCAUAGCUUAGCCCACUUAGCCCAGAUCGAAUCCAAUCACCUCCUAGCCCAUUUUCUUCAAGUUUUUCUUCAUUUUAAGCCCAAUUUGACCUCUCCAAAUCCUCCAAAGCUCGUGCACUCUCCCGAUUAAAAAUCUACGUAUGCUUGAAUAAACUCCCGCAUCUUGCAAAUUUAAAGUUUAUUUCUCUCCAAGCCUUCAAAUAACCAUCAAGCUCGCUCCAUGCAUAAUCUCCACAAUCACCAAGCCUAACAUCAUUUUUGUCUACCAAAUCUCAUCGCUUCCCAUACGUCCCGAACACUCCCGCUCCGCUAGACCCGAAAACCUGCAAUUAUGCUCACAAGAUUCGAAAGUACCCGAAAUAGUCAUAAAAUAACAAAAGGGAAAAUAUGCAUGGAAAUUAUCUAAAUUAUGAAUGAAAUAUGCUAAAAUAAACUAUAAAAAGAAGUAAACAAAACUAACUAUCAAAUCACCCCAAGCUUAAACCUUACUUGUCCUCAAGUAAGACAAGACUAAAAUGAACUUGGGAUGAACUAUCCUAGAGAAAAUAAAAAGAAUGGAUAGAGCCGCAGAACCUGAUCACCGUUAGUCAACAUGGUCAAAAUUGAUCUUGCUAUUACCUCACGAAUUUUUCAUCCGAUGACAAUGGUACCAUAAACCACAGCCAGGAUAACUCCUUUAGGUGAGUAAGGAGGGAUGAGCAGUCGCAGCCUCAAUGGAACAUGCAUACAAUGAAGAAUAUCUGUAGUAGGGAGAAAGCAGCUGGAUGGGCUCGGGUGGAGCUCUUCUUUAAGUGUACACUCUGAUCUCACGUUUGCCGGUUUCUCUCAUGUGUAACUAGGUUUAAUCGCUCGGGCACCGUUGUAGGAAUCGGAUCACUUGGUGUUGGCCCAAACCUCCCGUAGUAUCUGACUCGACAGUCUCCCUAACAUCACCAAUUUGCGAAAAACAACUCGAUCUAUAUACAAUAAAACAUACCUAAAUAAAUGAAUAUCAAACGCCGGGUGACCAAAAUGUUGGAAGAUUUAGUUCAAUAAUUGAACCGGUCACCCUUCUCAGAUUUCUGCAGCUGGGAAUUUGCCUGCCCCCUUUCUUUUUUUUUUUUUUUUUUUGUUAUACUUGAAGGUAAUGUAAUAACAACCCUUUGACUCAAAAUUUGGUUCCUAAAGUGUGUAAGUGGAACCGAAAGGGUAGUAAUAUAAUCCGAAUGGUCUAAGCGAGAAAAUGACCAUGUGUGGAGCAUAAAGAUAUAAUGUAAGCUCCUUUUCAAAUUUGUGAAUUUUUUUUUUCAAAAAUAAUGAAAAUGUCCACAUGCGGACUAAAAGACUUCUCUAAAAUCCUAAGAAAAUCGCAAAAAGAUAUGGUGAUGUAAAGAGACCGGAUAUGGAUUCUACUCGGGGACAAGCACUAGUGCUUCAUCCUAACGGUUCAAACAUGAUCAAGUGUGAUCCUCUCGGCGGUAGUGACCGCAAGGCUAAGACAUCCAUUGCUAUAGUAUAUCCUACAGUCAUUAGUAUUGUAUGCAUAAUUCUUCAUGAAAACUACCUGUCCAUGAUCACUUACCCCUUUAAGCUACCAGCAUCUGAUCCCAAGUAUGAGAUCCCAAACUGCAGCUAAUGGUCCCGGUUCGAUGGGUGAGAUAACAACAAGAUCCUGGACCAAUAAUGAUACAAUAACUGUGAACCUAUUCCAUGGCAUCCAGGGGUGAGAAUAAACAGACAACAAAAAUGCAUGAAUGUUAAUGCCUAAGCUAAAUGUUAUGCAAAAAUAUAAAAGGUGAAAAAGAAAAAUAAAAUUUUUUUGGAUUUAAAAAAAAUGAAUGAAAAUUAGCUUAAAUCUAAAAUGUUAUGCAACCUAAUUAAAAAUGCAUGGAAAAAAAAUAUAAAAGGAAAAUGAAAUGCCCCACCCCAAGCUUAAGAACAAGCAUUGUCCUCAAUGCUUAAGGUAAGGGCAAAAAUGACCUAAAUCGGAGGAUUGGAUGACGGGAGAUGUCUUUGGCGGUGGUUUCGUGAAAUUACGACCAGUAGAACUCCGACAAUCUUGAAUUUUCCGGCGAGGUGGGUGCUGGAAGGUUAUAUGAGAGGAAUGGAGUGGGAGGUCAAGAUGAUUAAAUGAAGAAGAAGGGAAGCUGAACAUUUUAAUCUAUGGGUCAAAAAGGGUCAAUUUCGGUCAAUGUUGGUCAAGAAAAGUCAAAAGGUCAACUCAUUAAAACCUUUGGUCAACACCUGGUCAAAUAAUAGCCAAAAAUAGCCCAAAUUGCCCAGCACAGUGCGCGGGUCGCGCAGAGUAGCACGCGGGUCGCGCAGACCUUGCAGUUAAGUCUUGGGCCAAUGUCGCUUCAUCACACAUGGCCGCGCAACCCACCCGCGCAACAGCACGCGCGUCGCGCAACCUCCUGAUCCUGAUCUUCAUUUUUGCUUCAUUUUUCUUCGUUUUUCACCCGUUCUUGCUUUGGAAGGCCCCAAACACCUAGAAACUCUUGAUUUCUUAAAAAACAACUCUUUUGAAUCCCAAAAACAUCUUCAAAACUCAUUUAUUCAAAUUAAAAACACGAAAACACAAUGCUUUCCAAAAAUGCCCUUCUUUAACGUCUUUGGCGAGACGCCUCCAAACUUCACUUUAACACUUUGGGGCGUCCAAAUGGACGACAUCUUGGACAUUUGAAUCAAAACCUUCAUUGAAUGGCUUCAAUCGAUGUCCAUUAACCUUGCAAAUUUGCCCCGUGUCUACAUUUUUUAAUUUCCACACCUCCAUUGGGACUCUUUUCUUGUAUUUGACUUUCUUUUUACGGGAGAACCAUACCGGACUCAGACCUUUGAUAAUAGCAAUCAUCCAACCAUAUUCUCUCUUGUACUUGUUCAGUAAGGUGACCAACUCUUCCCUCUUUGACAUGGUGGUUGAGUAGGUGACCGGUUGGGCGUCUUCUUUCUCGGGAUAGGUAUCCUUUGAAGGGUCCGGCAGAUUUAUCGUUUCCGGAUCUUGUGGUUGUUCUGCCACUAGAGUUAGUUUCUCAUUGGUAGUGGGUGGCUCAAUAUCUCUUUCGUUAACCCCUAUUACUUCGUUUACAGUUUCAUUGACAACAUUCUCAAUUUCUUCUUCCUCUUUGACAACUUCUUCCACUUCUACUUCUUCUUCCUCUUCUUCAUAUAACACUCUUGGGCCAUCAAAAGUUUUCUCAUCUUUCAAAGGAAUGCAACAUGCGUUAUGACAUGGGUUCUCUUGAGAUGGUAAUUUGUGUUGAGCUUCCACUAUACUCAAUGAUUGAGCAAUUUGUGUUAUUUGUUGCUCUAAGCUUUUGAGGCUAGCUUGAGUUGUUUCCUGGAAAAUUUGGGUAGAAGUGGCAAUGCUUUUCACAAUGUCCUCUAAGGACAUGCUUGGCGUUUCAGUUUGUUGAGGAGGGUAAGGAUAGGGUUCUUGGAACAGUGGAGUUGGUUGGUAUUGGUUAUUUCCCCAUGUUUGGUAUGGGUUUUGGUAAUGGUUAUUUCCCCAAACUUGGUUGUUGUCCCACCAUUGAUCAUGUUGAGGCUGAUCAUAACUCCAUUGGUUUGACCGGUAGUAGCUUCCUUUCUCUUGCACUUCUUCCCAUUCUCCUUGUAAAUAUGGACACAUGUCGGAAUGAUGUCCAUUUUGGGCGCAAAAAUCACAAAGAAGAGGUGUGGGCUGCACACUUUGGUCACUUUCAAUCAUCAUAACUAACUGAGCUAGCUCAGAAAGUUGGUCUUCGGUGCAAGGAGUGUUCAUUUCCAAAUCAUAUUUUUUUUUUUAAUUUCGGGGUUUUAAAUUAGAGUACCUGCACAAUGAGAUGUAGGCAUAGAGAAACAAACUGAUUAAAUCAAAACCAAUCCCCGGCAACGGCGCCAAAAAUUUGGUGGUUGUCGAGGCCAACACAAAUAAUAACCCUAAAUAUUACACACUAAAAUAGUGUAUAGUGGUAAAGGGAUCGAAUCCACGGAGAUUGGUUCAAUUUAUAACUCUAUGAAAAAUCUCUUUGUAAAAAUACUUGUAAAAUGACAAUAAAAAUAAAAUGGGGGGUUUUGGUGUUUUGAAAUACUUGAAACAAACUAGAAUUAACUAUGAUUUAAAUAGACAAAUGCAACAAAAAUAAGAGUUUGAUGUAAAAUCAAUAAGGGAGAGAUGGUUGACUUAAAGUUUCCUCACUUUGACUUUUGAUGAACAUAUCAUUAGAAUCCAAUGGUGCAAUACUUUGAUUUAAAUCCUUAAUUUGGCUAUAGUAAUCCAAGGAGCUUGAGAUUACCUAGACUUUUCUUAAUUGUUGAAAUGGCUAGAGAAGCUCAUAACAAUUUCCUUAGUCAAAGUCACUAAUUCCAAAUAGCAUGUAAUUAGUGAAAGUCAACUAGCAUUAAGAACCAAAAAGUCACCAAAUCCAAGAGGGGUCAAAUGCUUUCACCACCAUGUUGGAGGAAAUGUUUUUAUGAUUGUGUGAAGCAAAAACAACACAAAAAUCAUUUGUUGCUUGCUAAUUUGAGGAUCCUUUACUUAAUCAAGAAAUUAGCCAACUAAUCACCACAAACACAUUUAAACUCAUGAACUAAAACAUACAAGUAGUGAUAAGAUGUUAAAACACAAAACAUUCCCAUAAAGAUUUAAGAACAUGUUCAUGGGUUCUUCAACAUUCAACAAAAGUUCAAAGGAUUAACCAAAAGUCAACCAAGAUUAGUUUAGCCAAGCAUGGCUAAACCCAAAGAAACAAAGUUAGAGAAAAUUGUACCAAACAUUAAGCAAGAAUCAAGAGGUAAAAAUAUGAUGUUCUUCAAGUGUUCUUGGCCUUCAAAAGUCUUCAAAACUCCAGAGAGAAUCUCCAAAAAUCGGAUGUCUAAGAGUCUCCAAAAGAUGGGCACCAACCUUCCUCAAAUAGCUCAAAAGAAGAAUUUCUGAAACUGCCCCUGCAGGAGGUUGCGCGACCCGC